GGAGGAUGCAAGUGUUAUCCGGAAUUACUGGGCGUAAAGCGUCUGUAGGUGGUUUAAUAAGUCAACUGUUAAAUCUUGAGGCUUAACUUCAAAACAGCAGUCGAAACUAUUAGACUAGAGUAUAGUAGGGGUAAAGGGAAUUUCCAGUGGAGCGGUGAAAUGCGUAGAUAUUGGAAAGAACACCGAUGGCGAAAGCACUUUACUGGGCUAUUACUAACACUCAGAGACGAAAGCUAGGGUAGCAAAUGGGAUUAGAUACCCCAGUAGUCCUAGCUGUAAACAGUGGAUACUAGAUGUUGAACAGAUCGACCUGUGCAGUAUUAAAGCUAACGCGUUAAGUAUCCCGCCUGGGAAGUAUGCUCGCAAGAGUG
Molecule: ribosomal RNA, 371 nt
Filed under: uncultured bacterium
Lineage: Bacteria
Description: bacterial SSU rRNA
Rfam family: Bacterial small subunit ribosomal RNA
Source: RNAcentral